Molecule: long non-coding RNA, 437 nt
Organism: Mustela erminea (ermine)
Lineage: Eukaryota; Metazoa; Chordata; Mammalia; Carnivora; Mustelidae
Exons: 4
Source: RefSeq, a predicted model, not a curated record
UGUGAAGGCACAGCAAGUAGGUGAUGUCUACAAGCCCAACAGUAAGGCCUCACCAGAAAUAAACCACGUUGAAACCUUGAUCUCAGACUUCCAUCCUCCUGAAUUCAUCUGCACAGUCAAGAAGAAUAGCAUAACGAGAGGAAAUGCUGCCCAGAGUAUCUGUCAUUUUAUUCAGUGGAUACACAUUGUAAAGAUAAAUCUUACUAAUAAGGACAGAGGAGAAGUAAAUCUUAAAUUAUAGUGUCUAUAAGGGCCAGGAAACACUGCAACAAUAACCAAGAACUAACAGUCUUCCACAUUGUGAUAAAUAAGCCCUCUUCCCUGAACUUGCCAUUAUAUAUCUGCUGUUGGAGAACACACUCUUACUGAAAUAAAAUCUAAGUCAAGAGUCAUACUAUAAAUGAGGGAAUACUGGAAAUACCUCUUAUAUGAUCAAA